RNAcentral lists this microRNA precursor (62 nucleotides) under Populus euphratica (Euphrates poplar). Lineage: Eukaryota; Viridiplantae; Streptophyta; Magnoliopsida; Malpighiales; Salicaceae. The record is from RNAcentral.
GUAUUCGUCACAUUUCGUCAAUUCAGACAAAUUAGACUUACUGUAAACAAAGCAUGACCAAG